AUGCUCCCUUUGACAGUACUUAUACUAACAUUAAAAUAACACAGAGAAGAUAUGCUUGGCCACUGUGCAAGGAUGACAUGAAGCCACAAUUAUAUUAAGGUGACUUAA
Mesocricetus auratus (golden hamster) is the source of this 108-nucleotide small nuclear RNA. NCBI's taxonomy places the organism in Eukaryota, Metazoa, Chordata, Mammalia, Rodentia, Cricetidae. The record is from Ensembl.